CCUUUCUUUUCAUUCCGGAUGAACCCCCUACCCGAUCGAUCCCUCUUUUUUCCCUCUUCUGUAUGACUCCCUCUCUCUCUCCUUCUUCACCGUGCCGUACGCCUCUGCUGCUCCGCACGUGCGCGCGCGACGCCAUCUGAUCGUCGCCAUCAUUCGUAGCCGCCUCAUCCGCAAUCCUCUUUGGCCGUUAUUUUAUUUUUUGGUUCGCUAUCGACGGCAUCCUACCGUCAUCUUCACUAUUUUCGAGAAGGUUCCGACGACUGAAUUUUCGGCGCAUUUUCGACUGGAUAAUUUUCUAUCUUUGAAGCUGUGUUAAGGUAAGCAACCAGACACCCUGAAGCAGGGGAAAAGUUUAGAAAUCAAAAACCUCAAGUUGAAAGUGAAAUCUUAUCAAUCUGAAACUUUCUAUUGCAACUAUAUGCUUUGUCACGGCGAGACUUAAACACAGAUGCGUAAAAAUAAUUUAUGAAUAAUGUAAAGCAUAAACGGCGCAAUAAAACCCCAGAUAAAAGAUUGAAUUUAAAAUAGAGAACGAGAUGGAAAGUUGUACCAUCAAAAUCCGCAGUCGGAAUUAGAAAUCGCAAGCGCUGAACGAAAGUCGUCAAAUUCUUAAAGAUUACUCCAACGCCCUUUUCUGCCGGAGUACCAUCAUGCAUCGGUCGAAGGCGCGAUCUCCAAGAGGUUGAUGUUACGGCCGAGGUGAGCGUACAGUCGAAAGAUGAGAACGACGGCUAGGGCAAACGAGGUACUGAGACCGAUUCGCAGGGCGGGGCUGGGAGCGAGUGAACGUUAGAUGUAGCUAGAUUUGAUUCUAGCCUCUUUCGUCUUGUUUUUAUUGCAUUUAGAUAUAAAUUUUGAACUCCGUAGAUAAUCAUUGUUUAUCUAUUUCUACCUUGUUAAUUCAUCGUACCCAUUUUUUUUGUUAUUUAAAGCGCUAGUUAGACUAAAUUUUGUUUGCAUUGCAUUAUAAACUUUAGUUCUGCUUAUAUGAUAUUUUUCUUUUGAUUCUAGUUGAAA
Long non-coding RNA from Ananas comosus (pineapple), 1017 nucleotides. RefSeq lists it as uncharacterized. The transcript has 3 exons. The record is from RefSeq and is a predicted model, not a curated record. NCBI's taxonomy places the organism in Eukaryota, Viridiplantae, Streptophyta, Magnoliopsida, Poales, Bromeliaceae.